UAAAGCUAUAUGUUUCCGAAGAUCAGUGCAUUUUUGUAAUAAUUUUUCAACUUGGUGAUCUUGUGUUCUGAGUUGGUUUGACAGAGAUAAGAAUGAUGAGGCAGGCAGAAAUGCAGACCAGGAUGCCGAUUUGCGUGAAAGUCUUGACGAACUGAAAAGAAUGGAGGCGUUGCUCCUGGAAAAUGAGAAUGCCCUCAAAGAGAUCCUCAGAGAUGGAGAAGGAAACGAGGAGGAAGUCCGUCGAGUCCAAGAAGAAAUAAAUUCAUUAAAAGCUUUAAUCAAUGAUCUUAAUCACUCGAAAUAGAAGAAGUCGAUGCCACCAACAUUCCGAGAGCCCUGACCGCUCAAUCUCAAGCUUGUGACAAAAAAUAAAACUCGACAUUUCUGGAUUGCUUUCGUCAAAUCUUCGGAUCGUGCUUUCUGUGGGAAUGAUAGUUUCUAUAUCUUACUUCCGUUUUUUUCCUGGAUUGCUGUUAAUAGUGCAAGAUCAGUCAAGGCUUAGGUGUGUGGUUGAAUGGCAAGCCUCCUUGCUUGCUCCUUGUUUUGUUAAUGUACCGAAAAAUAAGCGAAA
Molecule: long non-coding RNA, 571 nt
Organism: Syzygium oleosum
Lineage: Eukaryota; Viridiplantae; Streptophyta; Magnoliopsida; Myrtales; Myrtaceae
Exons: 3
Source: RefSeq, a predicted model, not a curated record